This 955-nucleotide long non-coding RNA is filed under the name Homo sapiens (human). Its description in RNAcentral is "small nucleolar RNA host gene 1". The record is from RNAcentral. Lineage: Eukaryota; Metazoa; Chordata; Mammalia; Primates; Hominidae.
GAAGGGUGUUAUUUUUUCAGAUGUUCAGCCCACAAGAGCUUACUGGUGAAGGAAUGGGACAAGACCCAUCUUUAUGCAAAGCCAGCGUUACAGUAAUGUUCCAGGAGCAGCUUGUUGCUAUAUACCAUUGAAAAGCCUUCAGAGCUGAGAGGUACUACUAACCAAUAACCUGCUUGGCUCAAAGGGCCAGCACCUUCUCUCUAAAGCCCAAGAGGAGUUUGAGGAAAACUAGGUGUCUGUGUUCACUCCAGGCUGAAGUUACAGGUCUGAGCAAAUAAGGUGUAUAAAAAAUGGAAUCUGUCUUGGAGGACAUCAGAAGGUGAAUUUUCCAAGUUCUUGGACAACCUAGCUGUUGAAAAGCUUUCUGGGUUUGGGGGGUAUUUCAGAUGUACCUUAAAGUGUUAGCAGACACAGAUUAAGACACUGGGAGCCAAUGAAACAGCAGUUGAGGGUUUGCUGUGUAUCACAUUUCUGUAUUUUAUCACCCCCUUCCUGCAACAUUAUUUAUCUGGAAUCUACCUGCCCUUUUGUUUUUUAGAUACAAGGGCUUGGUUUUGUUACCCAGGCUGGUUUCAAGGCCAUAGCUUUAAGAGAUCCUCUCACCACAGAUUUCCAAAGUGCUGGGAUUGCAGGUGUGAUUCAUGGCACCCAGACUUUGCUGCCUUUCUUACAUGAUCCAGGCCCAGAACCCAAACUCAGGCACUGUAUAGAUGACCACUUUCGUAAACUACUGACCUAGCUUGUUGCCAAUUGUUGAUUGAACUUCCCAUAACUCCACUUCGUGUCUGUUCCUCUGUAUACAGCCACCUUCUGUUCCCGUCAUGAGCCUUUAGGUCUCCAUUUGCAUAUUGCAAAUACUAUGUUCCAUGUAGGUAGCUCAUUCAGGGCCUUGCUCUUCACUUCAAAAAAGGUUCCCUUGAGGACUGGCUGUCAAUUUGUGUUGCUGUGUUGGUUG